UGGUGGAGUGAUUUGUCUGGUUAAUUCCGUUAACGAACGAGACCUUAACCGGCUAAAUAGUCACACGAUUCUUGAAUCGUGACUGACUUCUUAGAGGGACUGUUGGUGUUUAACCAAAGUCAGGAAGGCAAUAACA
Molecule: ribosomal RNA, 136 nt
Filed under: uncultured eukaryote
Lineage: Eukaryota
Description: partial 18S ribosomal RNA
Rfam family: Eukaryotic small subunit ribosomal RNA
Source: RNAcentral